This 533-nucleotide ribosomal RNA is filed under the name Thraulus grandis. Its description in RNAcentral is "SSU rRNA". It matches the Rfam family "Eukaryotic small subunit ribosomal RNA", at positions 620 to 1119 of the family's 1831-position model. The record is from RNAcentral. Lineage: Eukaryota; Metazoa; Arthropoda; Insecta; Ephemeroptera; Leptophlebiidae.
UAAAAAGCUCGUAGUUGGAUCUGUGUAUCGGACGGUCGGUUCGCCGCUCGCGGCGUUUAACUGACCGGUCCGGACGUCCUGCCGGUGGGCGCCGGCCUCGGCCGGAGCCCGUAACUCCCUCCGCGCUGCUCUUAACCGAGUGGUUCGGUGGGCCGGCACGUUUACUUUGAACAAAUUUGAGUGCUCAAAGCAGGCCUUUUGUCGCCUGAAAACUGUGUGCAUGGAAUAAUGGAAUAGGGCCUUGGCUCUAUUUUGUUGGCUUUUCUGAGCUCGAGGUAAUGAUUAAUAGGGACAGACGGGGGCAUUCGUAUUGCGACGUUAGAGGUGAAAUUCUUGGAUCGUCGCAAGACGAACGGAUGCGAAAGCGUUUGCCAAGAAUGUUUUCGCUAAUCAAGAACGAAAGUUAGAGGUUCGAAGGCGAUCAGAUACCGCCCUAGUUCUAACCAUAAACGAUGCCAGCCAGCGAUGCGCCGAAGUUCCUCCGAUGACUCGGCGCGCAGCUUCCGGGAAACCAAAGCUUUUGGGUUCCGGGG